CACCGCAUGGACCGCCAUCCCGUGGAUGGCCUCGGCGGCCUCCACCAGGUCCCCAAGUCCGGCCACGGCGGGAAGUUCACCUGGGAGGGCCCCGCCGACGAGGCCUACAACGAGCUCGAGCCCCUUCCGCCCGCCAUCGACCCGAACGAUCCCAACUACGUCGAGGAAGAAGAGGAAGAGCCCACCGGAGGCAGAGGAGGACAAGAUGACGAAGCGGAGGAGGACGUGAUGACGAAGCCCAGCGAUGCGGUCGUCGUUGGAGAAGUGGAGGUGGCCAAAGUGGCGGAGGCCAAGCAAGG
RNAcentral lists this long non-coding RNA (299 nucleotides) under Phoenix dactylifera (date palm). RNAcentral describes it as "long non-coding RNA (PDAC_LNC004383)". The record is from RNAcentral. Lineage: Eukaryota; Viridiplantae; Streptophyta; Magnoliopsida; Arecales; Arecaceae.